RNAcentral lists this ribosomal RNA (89 nucleotides) under uncultured bacterium. Its description in RNAcentral is "partial 16S ribosomal RNA". The record is from RNAcentral.
CACACCAUGGGAGUGGAUUGCACCAGAAGUGGGUGAGCCAACCUCGCAAGAGGAGGCAGCCCCCUAAGGUGUGCUUCAUGACUGGGGUG